This 253-nucleotide ribosomal RNA is filed under the name uncultured bacterium. RNAcentral describes it as "partial 16S ribosomal RNA". It matches the Rfam family "Bacterial small subunit ribosomal RNA", at positions 524 to 776 of the family's 1533-position model. The record is from RNAcentral.
UACGUAGGGUGCAAGCGUUGUCCGGAAUUAUUGGGCGUAAAGAGCUCGUAGGUGGUUUGUCGCGUUGGUCGUGAAAACCGGGGGCUUAACCCUCGGCGUGCGGGCGAUACGGGCAGACUGGAGUACUGCAGGGGAGACUGGAAUUCCUGGUGUAGCGGUGGAAUGCGCAGAUAUCAGGAGGAACACCGGUGGCGAAGGCGGGUCUCUGGGCAGUAACUGACGCUGAGGAGCGAAAGCGUGGGGAGCGAACAGG